Molecule: ribosomal RNA, 443 nt
Filed under: uncultured bacterium
Lineage: Bacteria
Description: partial 16S ribosomal RNA
Rfam family: Bacterial small subunit ribosomal RNA
Source: RNAcentral
CCUACGGGAGGCAGCAGUGGGGAAUAUUGGGCAAUGGGCGCAAGCCUGACCCAGCAACGCCGCGUGAAGGAAGAAGGCUUUCGGGUUGUAAACUUCUUUUUUUAGGGACGAAGCAAGUGACGGUACCUGAUGAAUAAGUCACGGCUAACUACGGGCCAGCAGCCGCGGUAAUACGUAGGUGGCAAGCGUUAUCCGGAUUGACUGGGUGUAAAGGGCGCGUAGGCGGGAGUGCAAGUCAGAUGUGAAAACUAUGGGCUCAACCCAUAUCCUGCAUUUGAAACUGUAGUUCUUGAGUGCUUGAGAGGCAAUCGGAAUUCGGCGUGUAGCGGUGAAAUGCGUAGAUAUACGGAAGAACACCGGUGGCGAAGGCAGAUUGCUGGACAGGAACUGACGCUGAGGCGCGAAAGCGCGGGGAGCAAACAGGAUUAGAUACCCGUGUAGUC